CAGACUCAUGCGCUUGUUAUCCCAGUACUGGGGAAGCAGGAGGAGGAGGCCGGUGCUCACUGUGCAGCCAGGCCGGGUAGCAAGCCCCAAGCAAGAUAAAGACGACGCUGUUUCAAAUGACAAGGUGGACGGCUCAUGAGAGGCAACCCCUGAAAGUUUUCUUCUGGCUUCCAUAUGUAUACACACACACACACACACACACACACACACACACACACACACACACACUCACAUAUGAAAACAGGAAGGAAGAAAGGAGGGAGGGAAGGAAGAAGGGAGGGAGGGGAGGAAGAGGAGAAGAGAGGAGAGAGCAAGGGAGAUGGCUGCGCAUGUUUAGGAUACUAAAUCUUAAUCUGUAACCUCUUCAAAGAGAUAUUGCAAGUGGCUUCUUGUUCCUGAAAUGACAAAUGGCCCAUUUAAAGCCCCCGGCUUUCUGCAGGUAUGGAAUGGGAGUGUGAGUGUCAUAGGUGAGCGGCUCCUCUGCCCCUCCAUUUCCUUCUCUGCUGUUUAUGUCAUGCUGAUGGAUGCCUCUGCUGCCUUUUGUCUUCUGAGCUGUGACUCUGUUGUGGGGAAGCAGGGGAUUCCCAAGGAAAGCCAAGGCCACCAAGGCCAGCUGGUAAGCCGGGAGUUCUCACCUCUGCUUGUCUCCAGAAAGUGACAGGGCAGACCCACCUGUCUCCUAGAAGCAGAUCCUCAGACAGCCUUCUCGCCAGGCAGGGGUGGGCAUCUUUCAGGUAUAAACUCAGAAUAUCAUCACGGGUGAUGUCAAACCCUGACUAGUGGUGUCUAUUCAGCUCUGUGUGUACACGAGAGAAAGUGUGGCCUCACAUUCCCAAGCCCCACAGGAGUAGAUUUAGAAUGUCAGUGCCUGGUCAUGGCAAUGGCUACUGUUUCUCUUUUCUUUUCUUUUCUUUUCUUUUCUUUUCUUUUCUUUUCUUUUCUUUUCUUUUCUUUUCCUUUCCUUUCCUUUCCUUUCCUUUCUUUUUUCUUUUCUUUUCUUUUUUUCUCUUUUCUUUUUUUCUCUUCUCUUUUCUUCCUUUUCUUUUUUUUACUGGAUAUUUUCUUUAUUUACAUUUCAAAUAUUUUCUUCUUUCCAGAUCUCCCCUUUGGAAACUCCCUAUCCUAUGCCCCCUCCUUCUGCCUCUAUAAAGGUGCUCCCCCACCUACCCACUCCUGCCUUCCUGCCCUGGCAUUCCCAAGGGCCUCUCCUCCUACUGAUGUCCGACAAGUCCAUCCUCUGUGAACUCUUCAGAGAGGCUGUGAACUGGCUAGUUUGUGUCAACUUGACACAGACUAGAGUUAUCACAGAGAAAGGAGCUUCAGUUGGGGAAAUGCCUCCAUGAGAUCCAGCUGUAAGGCAUUUUCUCAGUUAGUGAUCAAGGGGGGAAGGCCCCUUGUGGGUGGGACCAUCUCUGGGCUGGUAGUCUUGGUUCUAUAAGGGAGCAGGCUGAGCAAGCCAGGGGAAGCAAGCCAGUAAGUAACAUCCCUCCAUGGCCUCUGCAUCAGCUCCUGCUUCCUGACCUGUUUGAGUCCCAGUCCUGACUUCCUUGGUGAUGAACAGCAAUGUGGAAGUGUAAACUGAAUAAACCCUUCCCUCCCCAACUUGCUUCUUGGUCAUGAUGUUUGUGCAGGACUAGAAACCCUGACUAAGACACUCUGCCACAUAUGAAGCUGGAGCCAUGGGUCCCUCCAUUGUAGUCUUUGGUUGGUGGUCAAGUCCUCAUGAUCUCUGGGGGUGUCUGGCCUGUUUACAUUGUUGAUACCCCCAUGGGGCUGCAAACCCCCUCAGCUCCUU
RNAcentral lists this long non-coding RNA (1795 nucleotides) under Mus musculus (house mouse). RNAcentral describes it as "long non-coding RNA chr2:6479250-6481045". The record is from RNAcentral. Lineage: Eukaryota; Metazoa; Chordata; Mammalia; Rodentia; Muridae.